Paramuricea clavata is the source of this 678-nucleotide non-coding RNA. Lineage: Eukaryota; Metazoa; Cnidaria; Anthozoa; Malacalcyonacea; Plexauridae. The record is from the annotation of a GenBank genome assembly.
UGUGAUUGCGCCUUCUUUAACAGAGAUAUUUACUAAAUCUAUUCAUACUGGAAUAUUUCCAGAUGAAUGGAAGGAAGCAAGGGUGUCGCCAGUGUAUAAGAACGGUGCAAAGCAUGAUCCGAGCAAUUAUAGGCCUAUAUCGGUGAUUCCAACGGUUUCAAAGAUUUUUGAGAAAAUUAUCUUUGACCAACUUAAUAAAUAUUUUAACGACAACAAUCUGUUGACCACCUGUCAAUCUGGAUUUCGGUCAUUGCAUAGUACAGUAACAGCGUUGCUGGAGGCUACAAAUAGCUGGUCUGUUAAUAUAGAUAAUGGUCUAAUUAAUGGGGUUGUUUUCAUUGAUCUGAAAAAAGCCUUUGAUACUAUUGAUCAUCAGAUAAUUUUACAGAAAUUAGAACAUUGUGGUAUCGACCAUAAUAGUUUAAAAUGGUUCGAAUCAUAUCUUACUGGCAGAACACAAAAAUGCAAAGUUAAUGAUCGGCUAUCAGGUUCGACGUCAGUAACGUGCGGAAUCCCACAAGGGAGUAAUUUGGGUCCGUUACUGUUCCUUAUCUAUAUUAACGAUCUGCCAAAUUGUAUUGCCUCCACCACGCCACUCCUAGAAUGUUUGCAGACGAUACGAAUGUAAGCUUUGCAGCUGAUUCUCUGGAAGAGCUCCAAAGUGUCAUUAAUUCUGAA